GUAUGCACGAGAUAUUAGUGCGGUUCAAUGGGAAAGUAAAGCUCAAAAUUUUUGACCUCUUCUUUUUUAUUGAGCCGUGCCAAUAUCACGUGUCACAUA
MicroRNA precursor from Ipomoea nil (Japanese morning glory), 99 nucleotides. The record is from Rfam. Lineage: Eukaryota; Viridiplantae; Streptophyta; Magnoliopsida; Solanales; Convolvulaceae.